UGUCGUCGGCAGCGUAAGAAUCCGUAGAUCCGACCGAUGCCAAUGAUCGAAAAAUAGAUACGAGCGCAACCUGUUCGAAAUAGCCAAAGUGAAACUUAUGACACGCGGUAGUUCUUUCAAGUCGUCGUAUAACAUUGCGUCCAAACCUGUGGAUUGUUGAUUAAUCUACGAUCAAUUUUCAGUGAAAGAUGUUGACAAAAUAAAUGACACCAUUCAUUUCUGAAUUUAGUUAGGAGAAUAAGAUGUUCAUUGCGACGAAAUUGAUUUGAAAUGUCAAGAGAUCACUCGCGCCCGCGAAGGUGUCUAAGCUCAAAAGAAGGAAGGGGAUCUAAUUAUAGAAGUCGUUGUACCGCUCGGUGGAGAACGAUGGAGGGUGUGAGUGCGGGUGCACGAAUAAGAAUCGGUUGUGCAUUGGGCGGUCAUAAAAUGCAGUCUGCAUCCGCUCGACGCAGAUGUACUGCGGAACGGGGUUCGUUUCUCCUACAAGGAGUCCGCAAAGGAUCUCUCGUUUCGGUGUUAAACGAUCUACUGAGAUGUAUCCGGAGUCGCCUCGGCGAAUCGGCAGCUGGUGAUUCGACGAGCUGCUGCCUCUCUCGCGUGCACGUGGAUCCGGUAUACAAUGCGUGUCGCGCUGGUCGCGCAGCGUCCACCGGUCAUCCCCCUUCUCGCUUCUCUCGUCUCGAAGAAGGCCGACGUGUUCGAUCGUCUUGGUCCAGAUGUAUCUCGCAAUCUCUCUUCCUUCGAGACACGUGAUCACAAUCAAUCAAAAGAGAGCCUUCUAGUUAAGAAAUUGCGCAUCGAGUGCUAAAUAUUUGAAAUGUUU
This is a long non-coding RNA of Acromyrmex echinatior (Panamanian leafcutter ant), 823 nucleotides long. RefSeq lists it as uncharacterized. The record is from RefSeq and is a predicted model, not a curated record. Lineage: Eukaryota; Metazoa; Arthropoda; Insecta; Hymenoptera; Formicidae.